RNA transcript from Pungitius pungitius (ninespine stickleback), 6983 nucleotides. RefSeq lists it as uncharacterized. The record is from RefSeq and is a predicted model, not a curated record. The transcript has 2 exons. Lineage: Eukaryota; Metazoa; Chordata; Actinopteri; Perciformes; Gasterosteidae.
GUCCCCAUCAGCACAUUAGUUCACUUAAAUGUUUCAUUGCUGGCAGUAGUCGCUUUACAUGCGUCUGUUUCUUUAAGAACUGUGGGACUGUUGCACCAUGGGAUUUAGUCAGGAAGUUGAAUGUGAUCAGGACAGCCUCACGUUUUGCGUUAUCUCUCCAUACUGUACACGUCAAUCUUCCACGCUCCAUGCCUUUGGUAGCAUUCUCGGUAUGUAAAAUAGACACCAACAUACUGUACCUAUAUAUUAAGUGUUGCCAGUAGGUUUGAUGUGCAUAUUGGGCUGAGGGUGUAGUGGGCUAGUUUGCCUCUGUUAUCAUGGGUUGUGCUACAUGUGCUAUAUUUGGAUAAACAAUGCGGGUUAUGUUACGUACAUUGUGUAGCAAUGCAUUACAUAUUUCCUUUGGUUUAGCUUGAAUGUUAGCUACUGUGUGUACAACCGCAUUGCAUUGGUAUGUAGUGAUAUUGUAUUUUUACAACUGCCAUUGUAUAAUAUUUGCAACUCUUUAAUAUGUAAGUAACAGGUAAUCUUGUUUCAUUUCCCAGUUUCACCCUUUCUAAUUCAAAUAAACGGAGUUAAGACGAUCCUACUCUCCAGUGUUUGAUGCGGGAAGGUGUUUAGCUGCUGGUCAGAUUGCACAGGGCUACGUGCAUGCAGGACAAGACAGUGAAACGAGAGCUUUCUAGCGGGCUGGACAACAAGGUUGAGCUGAUUGGAGUUACCGCCUCUAUGUUACAGCUAAGAGAGAAGGCUACAACUAGAGCAACGUUAACACAGGCAACCUCAUCUAUUGCCACGACAUGGAAGAUAAACCAGCAACCACGUUUGAGACCAGGUCCGCCGCCUCAUGCUCUGGGAAAAGCUCAAGCACUUCAUCAACAAGUAAAGCAGCAGCCAUUGCACGUGCUAAGGCAGAAGCAGCAAAAGCACGAGUUGCAUUCGCUGAAAAGGAAAUGCAAAUGAAGAUAGAGAGGGCCCGCUUAGAUGCGUCACUAGACAUAUUGAAAAUGGAAAAAGAAGCAGCAGCUGCCAUUGCCGAGGCAGAGGUCCUCGAGGCAGCCGCAGACACCGAUGGGGAAAAACGCAGCUGCAAAAUAGACCUCCUACUCAAGCCUAAAGAUCCUGAAGAGCGUACCUCCGAAUAUGUACUUCAACAUUCCGUAUCACACAGAAGCCUUCAGUCAAUGCCAGAAAUGGAACCCAUUAGUGAGUACGGGUUAAGAUAUGCAACUUCUAUGCCGCAUCAAGAUAGAGUCGUUCCAGCUCCACACAUUAACCAAGCGAAAGACGACAACACCCUCCUUCCAAGUAAUGUUCCUACACAACAGGCAGUGAAGGUUGAACAUAGAACAGACCAGACCAAUACUGCUAAAGGGAAAGAGAAUGAUGGUUGGAUCAGGAGAGGAGGAAUACAUGACCGCAACCAUCCACCAGCUCCCCACCACAGCACUCCAUUAGCAGGUGACCCACACGACAGUCAAGGCAUGACAAACUUUGUGAGGUUCUUUGCUCGCCGUGAACUUGUUAGCACUGGACUACUACAGUUCGACGAUCGUCCUGAAAGCUUCAGAGCCUGGCGAGCUUCAUUCCUCAAUGCAAUCAGAGGCCUAGACCUGUCAGCUGGGGAGGAGAUGGACCUCUUAGUCAAAUGGCUAGGACACGAGUCUGCUGGACAUGCAAGGCGGAUCAGGGCGGUUAAUGUAAACCACCCUGAAAGAGGUCUUGCAAUGGUGUGGGAAAGACUGGAGCAGUGUUAUGGAUCACCAGAGGCCGUAGAGAGUGCACUCUUCAAGAGACUCGACGCGUUCCCCACAAUACAUAAUAAAGAUCCUCAGAAGUUGAGAGAGCUGGGAGAUCUGUUGAUGGAGGUUCUUUCCGCCAAGGCUGAGGGAGAUCUGCCGGGCCUAGCCUUCCUGGAUACUUCCCGUGGCGUUAACCCCAUUGCACAAAAGUUACCCUAUAACCUGCAGGAGAAAUGGAUAAACGAAGGCACGCGGUACAAGCAACAGAACAGAGUACCAUUUCCACCAUUUCUCUUCUUUGUGGACUUUGUCUGCCAUCAAGCAACCACUAGGAAUGACCCUAGCUUUGACCUCACCACGUUCAACACGGCCCCGUCCAAAUCAGACAAGCCUUCCCCCAAACAAAGCAACCAGAGAGCACCUAUUUCAGUCCAUAAAACCGAGGUGUAUUAUCCCUCUAAUGCCGAGAGGACUGAAAAGAAGACCGAGGAGCCCGAUAGGCAGUGCCCCAUACAUAGGAAGCCUCACCCUCUGCAAAGAUGUCGCAGUUUUAGAGGGAAAUCUCUUGAAGACCGAAAGGCUUUUCUCAAAGACAACGGGAUAUGUUUCAGAUGUUGCGCAUCAACAUCACAUCUUGCCAGAAACUGCAAGGUCAGUGUGAAAUGCUCAGAGUGUGAGAGUGAAGGUCACAACACAGCUUUACAUCCUGGACCUCCGCCCUGGAUCGUUAAGACCACAGACCCUGCCAUAGAGCAUGGCGGGGAGGAACAAAGUGUUCCCGCGGACAUUGCAGCCCUGUGUACGAGCGUCUGUGGAGGAGACCUAAGUGGCAGGUCGUGCUCCAAGAUCUGUCUUGUUAAAGUCUUUAAAUCAAGUCGCCCAGACAGAGCAGUAAGCCUAUACGCUAUCCUCGACGACCAAAGUAACAGGUCAUUGGCUCGGCCAGAGUUCUUUGACCUCUUCAAGGAAGAAGGGCCCAGGUCGCCUUACUCCCUGAAGACAUGUGCAGGAGUGACAGAGACAGCUGGAAGACGGGCAAGUGAUUACCAAAUCAAAUCUCUGGAUGGUCAGUUGUGUCUACCUCUCCCUACACUCAUCGAAUGUAAUCAGAUCCCUAACAAUAGAUCAGAAAUCCCCACUCCAGAUUCUGCACUUCACCAUGCUCACCUUACAUCUGUAGCUCAUCAGAUUCCUGAACUCGACCACAAAGCUCCUAUCUUGCUUCUUCUAGGAAGGGACAUCAUAAGAGUGCACAAGGUUAGGGAACAGAUCAACGGGCCCCACGACGCGCCCUAUGCUCAGAGGCUCGACUUAGGGUGGGUCAUCGUUGGAGAUGUCUGUUUGGGAAACGUUCAUAAACCAUCCAUCGUGAACACCUUCUUUACAAGCACGCUAGAGAAUGGUCGCCCAUCUCUCUUUCAACCUUGUCCCAACCGGCUCCUCAUCAAAGAAAGAUACAGCGACUCUCUGUCAAAAGACCUCAUCGGGGGAUACUUCAGAGAUGAUACCGACUGUGACAAAGAGGAGAAUCACCUCGGGUGUACGGUAUUCCAAAGGACGAAAGACGAUAAUAAAACGUCUCUCUCGAUUGAAGACAAGGCCUUCCUAAAGAUAAUGGAACAAGGACUUCAGAAGGAUGAUGCUAACUACUGGGUAGCACCCCUCCCCUUCAAGUCACAGAGACGACGCCUUCCCAACAAUCGAGCACAAGCACUAAAACGUCUCUCUGCACUCAAGCGCAACUUCGGCAGGAAACCAGAAAUGAGAGACCAUUUCCUUUCAUUCAUGGAAAAAAUAUUCCAAAAUGACCAUGCGGAGAUUGCUCCUCCUCUGAAGGAAGAAGAAGAACGUUGGUACCUCCCAACCUUUGGCGUCUACCACCCGAAGAAACCAGGUCAGAUUCGGGUGGUAUUCGAUUCCAGCGCACAAUAUGAAGGGGUUUCGCUGAAUGAUGUACUUUUAACAGGUCCAGAUCUUAACAACACCCUUCUCGGAGUCCUGAUUCGUUUCAGAAAAGAGUCCAUUGCGGUUACAGCGGAUAUACAGCAAAUGUUUCACUCCUUUCUGGUCAGAGAGGAGGACAGGGACUUCUUGAGAUUCCUUUGGUUUGAGGAUAACGACCUUCACAAGGACAUCAUUGAAUACCGGAUGAAAGUGCACGUUUUUGGCAACAGCCCCUCUCCAGCUGUCGCUAUCUACGGCCUUAAACGUUCAGCGCAAGAUGGCGAGGCUGACUUUGGGUUGGAUGUCAAGCAGUUUAUAGACCGUGAUUUCUAUGUGGACGAUGGCUUGAAGUCACUGCCCUCUGAAGAAGCUGCCAUCAGCUUGCUCAAAAGAACACAAGAAACACUUGCCUGCUCGAACCUCAGGUUACAUAAAAUCGCAUCAAAUAGCAGCGAAGUAAUGAGAGCCUUUCCCUCCCAAGACUACGCAAACAACUUGAAGGAUCUGGAGCUUGGCACAGACACGUUGCCAACGCAACGUAGCCUUGGAAUCAUUUGGGAGCUUGAGACGGAUACGUUUACAUUUCAGGUUGUAGACGAAGAUAAGCCAUACACUCGUCGGGGUGUCCUGUCUACAGUUAACAGUCUAUACGACCCCCUGGGAUUUGUUGCCCCAGUUACCAUCCAAGGCAAAGCUAUCCUUCGUGAGCUCACCAUGGAAGUGGGCGACUGGGACUCCCCAUUACCUCCUGAUAAAGGGAAGCUGUGGACAGCAUGGAAAGACUCCCUGAAAGAUCUGGAAAGCCUCCAUAUCCCAAGAACAUAUGCACCAGUGUCCCUCUCUGAAGCUCAACGGCGAGUACUUUGUAUCUUCUGUGAUGCUUCUAUCAAAGCAAUAGCCGCAGUUGCCUAUAUCAAAGCCACAGAUGCUGACGGAGAACGCCACGUAGGGUUUGUUCUAGGUAAGGCAAAACUUGCUCCACGACCAGAACAUACAAUACCGAGAUUGGAGCUGUGUGCAGCAGUGUUGGCAGUGGAGUUAGCCGAGCUCGUCACCUCAGAAAUAAAUGUUGACCCGGAUGCCGUACAUUUCUACACGGACAGCAAGGUCGUGUUAGGCUACAUCUACAAUGAGACUAGACGGUUCUACGUCUACGUAAGCAAUAGAGUACAGCGCAUACGAAGAUCAACGCGGCCCGAACAGUGGCACUAUGUCCCCACCGAGCUCAACCCAGCAGAUUAUGCAACGAGAGCAGUCCCCGCAGCUCAAUUAAAGGACACCACAUGGCUGACAGGGCCAGCCUUUUUGACAAACCACGAACCUAGUCUUUCCAAGGAGGAUAUCUCUGAAGUUGCAGAUCCAAAAUUGGAUCCAGAAGUUCGACCUCAAGUGUCUACUCUGAGCACUGCUGCCUCAAACGCCCAGCUUGGAUCACGACGCUUCGAGAAGUUUUCAAGCUGGAGGUCAUUGACUCAUGCUGUUACUCGCUUGAUCCACGUGGCUCGACUCUUCAAGAAAACAUCAGCAUUAGGACCAAGUAAAUGCAAAGGCUGGCAUUACUGCCAGGCGGCAUGCACUGUGGAGGAGCUCUCUAAAUCCAAAGAUCUCAUUAUUCGUACAGUGCAGCAGGAAAACUAUGCCGCAGAGCUCGAAUGCUUGGAGAACCAGGAAGAAAUCCCAGAAAACAGCACUCUUAAGAAACUGGAUCCAUUCAUCGAUAGUAAUGGCUUAUUGAGAGUCGGAGGUCGGAUCACAGAGGCAGAAUUGGAAAUUGAUGAAAAGAACCCCCUAAUAAUUCCUGGUAACCACCACAUCACAAGGUUACUUGUGCGUCACCACCAUGAACAGACACGUCAUCAAGGGCGCCUUUUUACAGAGGGUGCUAUUCGCACUGCUGGCCUGUGGAUAGUUGGAAUGAGAAGACAAGUAAGCAGCGUCAUCUACAAGUGUGUCACAUGCCGCAAACUCCGUGGCACAUUCCUCUCCCAGAAAAUGGCCAAUUUACCUGCAGAUAGGCUAAGCAUCGAGCCUCCCUUCACGAAUGUUGGUUUGGACGUGUUUGGGCCCUGGUCCAUUCUCGCACGGAAAACAAGAGGUGGCCACUCUAACAACAAACGUUGGGCAGUGAUCUUUACCUGUCUGAGCAUAAGGGCAGUGCACUUUGAGGUCAUUGAGUCUUUGGAUACUUCAAGCUUUGUAAAUGCCCUCAGACGGUUCAUUUCCAUCCGCGGUCCAGUGAAACAUAUCCGCUCGGAUAGAGGCACCAAUUUCAUCGGGGCCUGUAAGGAGCUCAAGGUCCCAUCAAACAUAGAUAGUUUCCGUGUGACGAGGUACCUAGCUGAACAGGGCUGCACAUGGACAUUUAACCCACCUCACUCCUCUCACAUGGGCGGCGUAUGGGAGAGGAUGAUAGGCAUAGCCCGGAGAAUCAUGGAUUCCAUGUUCCAGCAAGAAAGAUCCUCAAAGCUCACUCACGAGACUCUCGCGACUCUUCUGGCAGAAGUAGCAGCCAUCAUAAACGCUAGACCCUUGGGUCCAAUAUCCGUUGAUCCUGCGGAUCCAAUGAUACUCACCCCUUCUACUCUUCUCACGCAGAAGGUGGGCCCUUUUCCUGCUCCUUCCGGUCAGUUUGACACUAAGGAUCUCUAUAAGCGGCACUGGCGUCAGGUUCAAGUCCUUGCAGAUGUUUUCUGGAACAAAUGGAGAAAGCAGUACCUUUCUACAUUGCAGACUCGAAGUAAAUGGCAUUCCAGCAAGCCAAACAUUGAUGCUGGAAGUAUUGUCCUUGUGAAAGACUCCCAAGCCGAAAGGAAUGAAUGGCCAAUGGCAUUGGUCACUAAGGUAUUCCCAAGCAAAGAUAGGAAGGUCCGCAGUGUGGAGAUCAAGAUCUCCAAACAAGAUGGAACCAAGCUCUUCCUUAGGCCUGUCACCGACUUAGUCCUCCUGCUCUCCGAAGAAGACUACAAGAGCCAGUAGUGACUUUCAAACACUGUUCUUCUGGAGUUAAGUGUAUGGGUGUUAUCCAUGGAUACCAGGCGGGGAGUGUUCUGUCCCCAUCAGCACAUUAGUUCACUUAAAUGUUUCAUUGCUGGCAGUAGUCGCUUUACAUGCGUCUGUUUCUUUAAGAACUGUGGGACUGUUGCACCAUGGGAUUUAGUCAGGAAGUUGAAUGUGAUCAGGACAGCCUCACGUUUUGCGUUAUCUCUCCAUACUGUACACGUCAAUCUUCCACGCUCCAUGCCUUUGGUAGCAUUCUCGUUUCACCCUUUCUAAUUCAAAUAAACGGAGUUAAGACGA